CUGCAGGCACUCAGUAUUUAUAGGGCGCCCCACAGCAGGUGCCACUUACAAAAAAAGGCCCUGUGAGUAUGAGUGGCCAAGUGUCAUCCCAUGACCCGGAGGUCACGCCGCUGUUGGUGCACAAUGGCUCACGGGAGAAGGGUCCCUUCCAUCAGCAAAUGACAAGCAGCGGUCUGUCUGGUCAGUCACACCUCUCACCAAAUGCAAAGCUGUUGAUGUGUUCAUUGGAGUCUCUGGAAUGCAUUCAUGCUCAAAUGUGCGGCUGUCAUCAUGGCCUACUAGUGGACCCUGGUAGAUCCAGGGAGUCAGAUACUCCCUUGUAGCUGACCACAGGACAGCAGGCUGCCAAGGCUCAGGCUCCUCAUGCCCAGAGGCACAAGAUCAGCCCUGUGAAGAGUGCGCCAUGCAGCGCCGGGCCAUUAACGGAGCAGCGGUGCUCCGUCUCUGCCAAAGGACCACGCAGAGGGCAGCAUGCUAUCUUCAGCCAUUAAGCACAGUCACAGAG
RNAcentral lists this long non-coding RNA (505 nucleotides) under Fukomys damarensis (Damara mole-rat). Its description in RNAcentral is "lncRNA (ENSFDAG00000031017.1)". The record is from RNAcentral. Lineage: Eukaryota; Metazoa; Chordata; Mammalia; Rodentia; Bathyergidae.